CCCGCUGAACUUAAGCAUAUCAAUAAGCGGAGGAAAAGAAACCAACAGGGAUUGCCCCAGUAACGGCGAGUGAAGCGGCAACAGCUCAAAUUUGAAAUCUGGCGUCUUAGGCGUCCGAGUUGUAAUUUGCAGAGGGAGUCUCGGGUUGAGGACCGGCCCAAGUGCCUUGGAACAGGAUACCGCAGAGGGUGAGAGUCCCGUAUCCGGCUGGUGCCAACGCCCGUGUGAGACCCCUUCGACGAGUCGAGUUGUUUGGGAAUGCAGCUCUAAAUGGGUGGUAAAUUCCAUCUAAAGCUAAAUACCGGCCAGAGACCGAUAGCGCACAAGUAGAGUGAUCGAAAGAUGAAAAGCACUUUGAAAAGAGAGUCAAACAGUACGUGAAAUUGUUGAAAGGGAAGCGUAUGUGGGCAGACUUGACCGCGGGAUUCAGCUCGUCUUCUGGCGGGUGCACUUUCUCGUGGGCAGGCCAGCAUCGGUUUCGGGGGCCGGACAAAGACGUUGGGAAUGUGGCACUCUUCGGGGUGUGUUAUAGCCCGACGUGCAAUGCGGCCACCUGGGACCGAGGACCGCGCUUCGGCGAGGAUGCUGGCGUAAUGGCCUCAUACGGCCCGUCUUGAAACACGG
This 624-nucleotide ribosomal RNA is filed under the name uncultured fungus. Its description in RNAcentral is "eukaryotic LSU rRNA". It matches the Rfam family "Eukaryotic large subunit ribosomal RNA", at positions 24 to 664 of the family's 3401-position model. Lineage: Eukaryota; Fungi. The record is from RNAcentral.